GACGAACGCUGGCGGCGUGCUUAACACAUGCAAGUCGAACGGAAAGGCCCUGCUUGCAGGGUACUCGAGUGGCGAACGGGUGAGUAACACGUGGGUGACCUGCCCUGCACUUCGGGAUAAGCUUGGGAAACUGGGUCUAAUACCGGAUAGGAGCCAUCUUUAGUGUGGUGGUUGGAAAGUUUUUUCGGUGUAGGAUGAGCUCGCGGCCUAUCAGCUUGUUGGUGGGGUAAUGGCCUACCAAGGCGGCGACGGGUAGCCGGCCUGAGAGGGUGUACGGCCACAUUGGGACUGAGAUACGGCCCAGACUCCUACGGGAGGCAGCAGUGGGGAAUAUUGCACAAUGGGCGCAAGCCUGAUGCAGCGACGCCGCGUGGGGGAUGAAGGCCUUCGGGUUGUAAACUCCUUUCGCUAGGGACGAAGCUUUUUUGUGACGGUACCUAGAUAAGAAGCACCGGCUAACUACGUG
RNAcentral lists this ribosomal RNA (466 nucleotides) under uncultured bacterium. RNAcentral's name for it is "partial 16S ribosomal RNA". It matches the Rfam family "Bacterial small subunit ribosomal RNA", at positions 28 to 507 of the family's 1533-position model. The record is from RNAcentral.